CGGCGAUGUCCGAAUGGGGAAACCCAGUGCAAUUCGUUGCACUAUCGUUAACUGAAUACAUAGGUUAACGAGGCGAACCGGGGGAACUGAAACAUCUAAGUACCCCGAGGAAAAGAAAUCAACCGAGAUUCCCCCAGUAGCGGCGAGCGAACGGGGAGCAGCCCAGAGUCUGAAUCAGCUUGUGUGUUAGUGGAACGGUCUGGAAAGUCCGACGGUACAGGGUGAUAGUCCCGUACACCAAAAUGCACAGGCUGUGAACUCGAAGAGUAGGGCGGGACACGUGGUAUCCUGUCUGAAUAUGGGGGGACCAUCCUCCAAGGCUAAAUACUCCUGACUGACCGAUAGUGAACCAGUACCGUGAGGGAAAGGCGAAAAGAACCCCGGCGAGGGGAGUGAAAAAGAACCUGAAACCGUGUACGUACAAGCAGUGGGAGCACCUUCGGGUGUGACUGCGUACCUUUUGUAUAAUGGGUCAGCGACUUAUAUUCUGUAGCAAGGUUAACCGUAUAGGGGAGCCGCAGGGAAACCGAGUCUUAACUGGGCGUUAAGUUGCAGGGUAUAGACCCGAAACCCGGUGAUCUAGCCAUGGGCAGGUUGAAGGUUGGGUAACACUAACUGGAGGACCGAACCGACUAAUGUUGAAAAAUUAGCGGAUGACUUGUGGCUGGGGGUGAAAGGCCAAUCAAACCGGGAGAUAGCUGGUUCUCCCCGAAAGCUAUUUAGGUAGCGCCUCGUGAAUUCAUCUUCGGGGGUAGAGCACUGUUUCGGCUAGGGGGUCAUCCCGACUUACCAACCCGAUGCAAACUACGAAUACCGAAGAAUGUUAUCACGGGAGACACACGGCGGGUGCUAACGUCCGUCGUGAAGAGGGAAACAACCCAGACCGCCAGCUAAGGUCCCAAAGUCAUGGUUAAGUGGGAAACGAUGUGGGAAGGCACAGACAGCCAGGAUGUUGGCUUAGAAGCAGCCAUCAUUUAAAGAAAGCGUAAUAGCUCACUGGUCGAGUCGGCCUGCGCGGAAGAUGUAACGGGGCUAAACCAUGCACCGAAGCUGCGGCAGCGACACUAUGUGUUGUUGGGUAGGGGAGCGUUCUGUAAGCCUGCGAAGGUGGCCUGUGAGGGUUGCUGGAGGUAUCAGAAGUGCGAAUGCUGACAUAAGUAACGAUAAAGCGGGUGAAAAGCCCGCUCGCCGGAAGACCAAGGGUUCCUGUCCAACGUUAAUCGGGGCAGGGUGAGUCGACCCCUAAGGCGAGGCCGAAAGGCGUAGUCGAUGGGAAACAGGUUAAUAUUCCUGUACUUGGUGUUACUGCGAAGGGGGGACGGAGAAGGCUAUGUUAGCCGGGCGACGGUUGUCCCGGUUUAAGCAUGUAGGCUGGUUGUCCAGGCAAAUCCGGAUAAUCAAGGCUGAGGUGUGAUGACGAGGCACUACGGUGCUGAAGUAACAAAUGCCCUGCUUCCAGGAAAAGCCUCUAAGCAUCAGGUAACAUCAAAUCGUACCCCAAACCGACACAGGUGGUCAGGUAGAGAAUACCAAGGCGCUUGAGAGAACUCGGGUGAAGGAACUAGGCAAAAUGGUGCCGUAACUUCGGGAGAAGGCACGCUGGUGUGUAGGUGAAGCCCCUGCGGGUGGAGCUGAGACCAGUCGAAGAUACCAGCUGGCUGCAACUGUUUAUUAAAAACACAGCACUGUGCAAACACGAAAGUGGACGUAUACGGUGUGACGCCUGCCCGGUGCCGGAAGGUUAAUUGAUGGGGUUAUCCGUAAGGAGAAGCUCUUGAUCGAAGCCCCGGUAAACGGCGGCCGUAACUAUAACGGUCCUAAGGUAGCGAAAUUCCUUGUCGGGUAAGUUCCGACCUGCACGAAUGGCGUAAUGAUGGCCAGGCUGUCUCCACCCGAGACUCAGUGAAAUUGAACUCGCUGUGAAGAUGCAGUGUACCCGCGGCAAGACGGAAAGACCCCGUGAACCUUUACUAUAGCUUGACACUGAACAUUGAGCCUUGAUGUGUAGGAUAGGUGGGAGGCUUUGAAGCGUGGACGCCAGUCUGCGUGGAGCCAACCUUGAAAUACCACCCUUUAAUGUUUGAUGUUCUAACGUUGGCCCCUUACCGGGGUUGCGGACAGUGUCUGGUGGGUAGUUUGACUGGGGCGGUCUCCUCCCAAAGCGUAACGGAGGAGCACGAAGGUUAGCUAAUCCUGGUCGGACAUCAGGAGGUUAGUGCAAUGGCAUAAGCUAGCUUGACUGCGAGCGUGACGGCGCGAGCAGGUGCGAAAGCAGGUCAUAGUGAUCCGGUGGUUCUGAAUGGAAGGGCCAUCGCUCAACGGAUAAAAGGUACUCCGGGGAUAACAGGCUGAUACCGCCCAAGAGUUCAUAUCGACGGCGGUGUUUGGCACCUCGAUGUCGGCUCAUCACAUCCUGGGGCUGAAGUAGGUCCCAAGGGUAUGGCUGUUCGCCAUUUAAAGUGGUACGCGAGCUGGGUUUAGAACGUCGUGAGACAGUUCGGUCCCUAUCUGCCGUGGGCGCUGGAGAAUUGAGGGGGGCUGCUCCUAGUACGAGAGGACCGGAGUGGACGCAUCACUGGUGUUCGGGUUGUCAUGCCAAUGGCACUGCCCGGUAGCUAAAUGCGGAAGAGAUAAGUGCUGAAAGCAUCUAAGCACGAAACUUGCCCCGAGAUGAGUUCUCCCUGAGACUUUAAGUCUCCUGAAGGAACGUUAAAGACGAUGACGUUGAUAGGCCGGGUGUGUAAGCGCAGCGAUGCGUUGAGCUAACCGGUACUAAUGAACCGUGAGGCUUAACCUU
Molecule: ribosomal RNA, 2797 nt
Filed under: Klebsiella pneumoniae
Lineage: Bacteria; Pseudomonadati; Pseudomonadota; Gammaproteobacteria; Enterobacterales; Enterobacteriaceae
Description: bacterial LSU rRNA
Rfam family: Bacterial large subunit ribosomal RNA
Source: RNAcentral